This 397-nucleotide ribosomal RNA is filed under the name uncultured bacterium. RNAcentral describes it as "bacterial SSU rRNA". It matches the Rfam family "Bacterial small subunit ribosomal RNA", at positions 30 to 416 of the family's 1533-position model. The record is from RNAcentral.
AGUGAACGCUGGCGGCAGGCCUAACACAUGCAAGUCGAACGGCAGCACGGCAGUAGCAAUACUGUGGGUGGCGAGUGGCGGACGGGUGAGGAAGUACAUCGGGAUCUACCCUGUUGUGGGGGGAUAACGUAGGGAAACUUACGGCUAAGUACCGCAUAAGAACUGAGGUUGAAAGCGGCGGACCGCAAGGCGGCGCGCGAUUGGAUGAACCGAUGUCCGAUUAGCUAGUUGGCGGGUAAAGGCCCACCAAGGCGACGAUCGGUAGCUGGUCUGAGAGGACGACCAGCCACACUGGAACUGAGACACGGUCCAGGACUCCUACGGGAGGCAGGCAGUGGGGAAUAUUGGACAAUGGGCGCAAGCCUGAUCCAGCCAUGCCGCGUGGGUGAAGAAGGCC